RNAcentral lists this ribosomal RNA (765 nucleotides) under Micrococcus sp. 78. RNAcentral describes it as "bacterial SSU rRNA". It matches the Rfam family "Bacterial small subunit ribosomal RNA", at positions 101 to 877 of the family's 1533-position model. The record is from RNAcentral. Lineage: Bacteria; Bacillati; Actinomycetota; Actinomycetes; Micrococcales; Micrococcaceae.
AACGGGUGAGUAACACGUGAGUAACCUGCCCUUAACUCUGGGAUAAGCCUGGGAAACUGGGUCUAAUACCGGAUAGGAGCGCCUACCGCAUGGUGGGUGUUGGAAAGAUUUAUCGGUUUUGGAUGGACUCGCGGCCUAUCAGCUUGUUGGUGAGGUAAUGGCUCACCAAGGCGACGACGGGUAGCCGGCCUGAGAGGGUGACCGGCCACACUGGGACUGAGACACGGCCCAGACUCCUACGGGAGGCAGCAGUGGGGAAUAUUGCACAAUGGGCGCAAGCCUGAUGCAGCGACGCCGCGUGAGGGAUGACGGCCUUCGGGUUGUAAACCUCUUUCAGUAGGGAAGAAGCGAAAGUGACGGUACCUGCAGAAGAAGCACCGGCUAACUACGUGCCAGCAGCCGCGGUAAUACGUAGGGUGCGAGCGUUAUCCGGAAUUAUUGGGCGUAAAGAGCUCGUAGGCGGUUUGUCGCGUCUGUCGUGAAAGUCCGGGGCUUAACCCCGGAUCUGCGGUGGGUACGGGCAGACUAGAGUGCAGUAGGGGAGACUGGAAUUCCUGGUGUAGCGGUGGAAUGCGCAGAUAUCAGGAGGAACACCGAUGGCGAAGGCAGGUCUCUGGGCUGUAACUGACGCUGAGGAGCGAAAGCAUGGGGAGCGAACAGGAUUAGAUACCCUGGUAGUCCAUGCCGUAAACGUUGGGCACUAGGUGUGGGGGACCAUUCCACGGUUUCCGCGCCGCAGCUAACGCAUUAAGUGCCCCGCCUGGG